RNAcentral lists this unclassified non-coding RNA (153 nucleotides) under uncultured bacterium. RNAcentral describes it as "16S-23S intergenic spacer". The record is from RNAcentral.
UCUAAGGAUUAUUACGGAAUAGAUGACUCGGUCAUCUACGAUUACACUUGCUGUUCAGUUUUGAAGGUUUAUGAAUCUUCUAAAACUUGUUCUUUGAAAACUGGAUAAAACGACAUUGAAAGUAACAAACAAAUUUCUAUUAUAGAUUUUUUU